This 64-nucleotide transfer RNA is filed under the name Echinogammarus veneris. RNAcentral describes it as "tRNA-Pro". The record is from RNAcentral. Lineage: Eukaryota; Metazoa; Arthropoda; Malacostraca; Amphipoda; Gammaridae.
CAAAAGAUAGUUUAUAAAAAUAGUAGUUUUGGGUACUGCAGAAGAGAAUUUUUCUUUCUUUUGA